GACGUAGGGCGCGAGCGUUGUCCGGAUUUAUUGGGCGUAAAGAGCUCGUAGGCGGCUUGUCGCGUCGUCCGUGAAAACCUGCAGCUCAACUGCAGGCUUGCGGUCGAUACGGGCAGGCUCGAGUUCGGUAGGGGAGACUGGAAUUCCGGGUGUAGCGGUGAAAUGCGUAGAUAUCCGGAGGAACACCGGUGGCGAAGGCGGCUUCCUGGACCGACACUGACGCUGAGGCGCGAAAGCUAGGGGAGCAAACGGG
Molecule: ribosomal RNA, 253 nt
Filed under: uncultured bacterium
Lineage: Bacteria
Description: partial 16S ribosomal RNA
Rfam family: Bacterial small subunit ribosomal RNA
Source: RNAcentral